UAUUUAUUUACAUAAAUGUUGUUGUGUACACUAUUUAAAUAUUAAGUAAUAUUAUUAUAUGUUGAAAUUCAUUUAAUAUUACUUCAUUCAUUCGUUAAUUUGUAACUAAUUAACUCAUUUAUUCAUUCAUUGGCAAGGACAAAUAACCUUUCUACCAUUUUCUCAGUUUGACAAUUUCAAGCGUGUCUCAAGUGGAGGAAGAGCUAAAAGGCCCCCUGGUGGAGAACAUUAGCAUCACUUUCUCCUGUCUGAUGUUCUGGCAAGACAACGUGUUGGGAGACAUGGAUGUUGAUCUAUAAAAAGAGUUUCUGCAUGACUUGAAAGGCUUGAAAGUUUUGGUUAAUGAUAAAGACAUGCUGGACCAACACAAAAGGCAUGUUAAUAAUUUGUUCAGAUGCUCAUUAUUUCUAAUACUGAUGACAUGCUAUGUCUAACAUAUCUGUCCUUUCUACAAACACUAUAGCUUGGUAUGUGCACAGCUUAGAGGAACAUUUAACGUCUUUAGUGAGAUGGAGGCCAAUUUUAAGGUGUGGGUCAACAGCAGGGGAGUACUAUUG
This 557-nucleotide long non-coding RNA is filed under the name Carassius auratus (goldfish). Its description in RNAcentral is "lncRNA (ENSCARG00000064576.1)". The record is from RNAcentral. Lineage: Eukaryota; Metazoa; Chordata; Actinopteri; Cypriniformes; Cyprinidae.